RNAcentral lists this ribosomal RNA (253 nucleotides) under uncultured bacterium. Its description in RNAcentral is "partial 16S ribosomal RNA". It matches the Rfam family "Bacterial small subunit ribosomal RNA", at positions 524 to 776 of the family's 1533-position model. The record is from RNAcentral.
UACGUAGGUGGCAAGCGUUGUCCGGAUUUAUUGGGCUUAAAGGGUGCGUAGGCGGCUUUGUAAGUCAGUGGUGAAAUAUGGCAGCUCAACUGUCAAGGUGCCAUUGAUACUGCGAGGCUUGAGUACAGAUGAGGUAGGCGGAAUUGACGGUGUAGCGGUGAAAUGCUUAGAUAUCGGGAAGAACACCGAUAGCGAAGGCAGCUUACUAGGCUGUAACUGACGCUGAGGCACGAAAGUGUGGGGAUCAAACAGG